This 367-nucleotide ribosomal RNA is filed under the name uncultured soil bacterium. RNAcentral's name for it is "bacterial SSU rRNA". It matches the Rfam family "Bacterial small subunit ribosomal RNA", at positions 26 to 394 of the family's 1533-position model. The record is from RNAcentral.
AGAUUGAACGCUGGCGGCAGGCCUAACACAUGCAAGUCGAGCGGUAGAGAGGUGCUUGCACCUCUUGAGAGCGGCGGACGGGUGAGUAAUGCCUAGGAAUCUGCCUAGUGGUGGGGGAUAACGUUCGGAAACGGACGCUAAUACCGCAUACGUCCUACGGGAGAAAGCGGGGGACCUUCGGGCCUCGCGCCAUUAGAUGAGCCUAGGUCGGAUUAGCUAGUUGGUGAGGUAAUGGCUCACCAAGGCGACGAUACCGUAACUGGUCUGAGAGGAUGAUCAGUCACACUGGAACUGAGACACGGUCCAGACUCCGACGGGAGCAGCAGGUGGGAAUAUUGACAAUGGGACGAAAGCCUGAUCCAAGCCA